UAUUAAAAAUUCCAUCCAAUUCUACUGUAAAAAAACUAACAUAGCUAAUAGAAUAAUCAAAAAGUGAUGGAUGAGGUGUCACAUGUACCUCAUGCUAAUAUACAUGGGCAAGUUUUUUACAAUAGAAAUGGAUAAGUUUUUUUAACA
Molecule: non-coding RNA, 147 nt
Organism: Gossypium hirsutum (cotton)
Lineage: Eukaryota; Viridiplantae; Streptophyta; Magnoliopsida; Malvales; Malvaceae
Source: Rfam